Molecule: ribosomal RNA, 253 nt
Filed under: uncultured bacterium
Lineage: Bacteria
Description: partial 16S ribosomal RNA
Rfam family: Bacterial small subunit ribosomal RNA
Source: RNAcentral
UACGUAGGGCGCAAGCGUUAUCCGGAAUUAUUGGGCGUAAAGAGCUCGUAGGCGGUUUGUCGCGUCUGCCGUGAAAGUCCGGGGCUCAACUCCGGAUCUGCGGUGGGUACGGGCAGACUAGAGUGAUGUAGGGGAGACUGGAAUUCCUGGUGUAGCGGUGAAAUGCGCAGAUAUCAGGAGGAACACCGAUGGCGAAGGCAGGUCUAUGGGCAUUAACUGACGCUGAGGAGCGAAAGCAUGGGGAGCGAACAGG